RNAcentral lists this ribosomal RNA (253 nucleotides) under uncultured bacterium. RNAcentral's name for it is "partial 16S ribosomal RNA". It matches the Rfam family "Bacterial small subunit ribosomal RNA", at positions 524 to 776 of the family's 1533-position model. The record is from RNAcentral.
UACAGAGGGCUCAAGCGUUGUUCGGAUUCAUUGGGCGUAAAGGGUGCGCAGGCGGCCGUGUGUGUCAGGUGUGAAAGCCCGGAGCUUAACUCCGGAAUUGCGCCUGAAACUACAUGGCUAGAGCAUUGGAGAGGGUAGCGGAAUUCACGGUGUAGCAGUGAAAUGCGUAGAUAUCGUGAGGAACACCAGAGGCGAAGGCGGCUACCUGGACAAUUGCUGACGCUCAGGCACGAAAGCGUGGGGAGCAAACAGG